Molecule: ribosomal RNA, 187 nt
Filed under: uncultured Actinomycetes bacterium
Lineage: Bacteria; Bacillati; Actinomycetota; Actinomycetes
Description: uncultured actinobacterium partial 16S ribosomal RNA
Rfam family: Bacterial small subunit ribosomal RNA
Source: RNAcentral
UGAAGAAUCUGCCUUCAACUCUGGGAUAACUCCGGGAAACCGGGGCUAAUACCGGAUAUGAGCCUUGAUCGCAUGAUCGGGGCUGGAAAGUUUUUCGGUUGAAGAUGACUUCGCGGCCUAUCAGCUUGUUGGUGAGGUAAUGGCUCACCAAGGCGACGACGGGUAGCCGGCCUGAGAGGGCGACCGG